GAUGAACGCUGGCGGCGUGCCUAAUACAUGCAAGUCGAGCGAACAGACGAGGAGCUUGCUCCUCUGACGUUAGCGGCGGACGGGUGAGUAACACGUGGAUAACCUACCUAUAAGACUGGGAUAACUUCGGGAAACCGGAGCUAAUACCGGAUAAUAUAUUGAACCGCAUGGUUCAAUAGUGAAAGACGGUUUUGCUGUCACUUAUAGAUGGAUCCGCGCCGCAUUAGCUAGUUGGUAAGGUAACGGCUUACCAAGGCGACGAUGCGUAGCCGACCUGAGAGGGUGAUCGGCCACACGGGAGCUGGGACACGGUCCAGACUCCUACGGGAGGCAGCAGUAGGGAAUCUUCCGCAAUGGGCGAAAGCCUGACGGAGCAACGCCGCGUGAGUGAUGAAGGUCUUCGGAUCGUAAAACUCUGUUAUUAGGGAAGAACAAAUGUGUAAGUAACUAUGCACGUCUUGACGGUACCUAAUCAGAAAGCCACGGCUAACUACGUG
This 497-nucleotide ribosomal RNA is filed under the name uncultured bacterium. RNAcentral's name for it is "partial 16S ribosomal RNA". It matches the Rfam family "Bacterial small subunit ribosomal RNA", at positions 28 to 507 of the family's 1533-position model. The record is from RNAcentral.